GACGAACGCUGGCGGCGUGCUUAACACAUGCAAGUCGAACGGAAAGGCCCUGCUUUUGUGGGGUGCUCGAGUGGCGAACGGGUGAGUAGCACGUGAGUAACCUGCCCUUGACUUUGGGAUAACUUCAGGAAACUGGGGCUAAUACCGGAUAGGAGCUCCUGCUGCAUGGUGGGGGUUGGAAAGUUUCGGCGGUUGGGGAUGGACUCGCGGCUUAUCAGCUUGUUGGUGGGGUAGUGGCUUACCAAGGCUUUGACGGGUAGCCGGCCUGAGAGGGUGACCGGCCACAUUGGGACUGAGAUACGGCGCAGACUCCUACGGAAGGAAGCAGUGGGGAAUAUUGCACAAUGGGCGGAAGCCUGAUGCAGAAACGCCGCGUGCGGGAUGACGGCCUUCGGGUUGUAAACCGCUUUCGCCUGUGACGAAGCGUGAGUGACGGUAAUGGGUAAAGAAGCACAGGCUAACUACGUG
RNAcentral lists this ribosomal RNA (468 nucleotides) under uncultured bacterium. RNAcentral's name for it is "partial 16S ribosomal RNA". It matches the Rfam family "Bacterial small subunit ribosomal RNA", at positions 28 to 507 of the family's 1533-position model. The record is from RNAcentral.